CAGCUGUUACCGUACGUUCAGCGGUGCCCAAACGCGGAUUUACACACCUAAAAAAAUGUCUAGGAGAUGGUGACUUAAGAGAAGCAUCUAUUUUAUGCAGCUCUUUUAAGGAAGACCUGGCCUAUCUGGACUUAUGUGUCUUAAAGGAAUUAUAACCCUGGAGCUCAAGCAAUGGAUGAGGAAAAGAAGUAUCGACAUGUCUUGUUCAUCAGGGUUUCCUGAAUCUGGUCAACGACAUCGAUUGGAUUUUCGACAACCGGUUUGAUAUUAAACUUUUGCCAGAAGUCAAUUCCCAAGAUGCAUUGCCUAUUGAGUUCGGGAGCGAUAACGACAGGUGAGACCGGAGAUUGCGUUCGUUGAGCUGUCGCUUUUCCAAUCGAUCAAUGUUGCGAAUCGCGAGUUCAUAGUCUAACUCAUCGAUUGCUAAAUGUGCACAGUUCAUGCUAUGGUACUGGACAUACAAAUUAGGCAUGUCCAUUUUUUAGACUUAAGGUAACCUAUUAAAUUAUGAAUUUUAUUUUAUAUUCUAUUUAAAUUACGAAUAUAUAAAGAAAUUAUUGAGAAACAACCAACUUAAAGCUGAACCACAAAAC
Molecule: long non-coding RNA, 593 nt
Organism: Uranotaenia lowii
Lineage: Eukaryota; Metazoa; Arthropoda; Insecta; Diptera; Culicidae
Exons: 3
Source: RefSeq, a predicted model, not a curated record